GCGGUAAUUCCAGCUCCAAUAGCGUAUAUUUAAGUUGUUGCGGUUAAAACGCUCGUAGUUGGACUUUGGGCCCCGUUUCGUCGGUCCGCCCUCGCGGGCGCGCACCGCACGUCCGGCGGCCUUUUUGGUCGGCCGCCGCGGCUGGGCUUCACUGUCUGGCCGCGGUCGUCCGUCCGGGUUACUUUGAGGAAAAUAGAGUGUUCAAAGCAGGCGGCUGCCCGAAUACGCUAGCAUGGAAUAACACGAGAGGGCUGUGGGCCGCACGUGGUUGGUCUGCGGUGUCCGUAGCAAUGAUCGAGAGGAGCGGUCGGGGGCAUUCGUAUUCCACUGUCAGAGGUGAAAUUCUUGGAUUUGUGGAAGGCGAACAUCUGCGAAAGCGAUUGCCAAGGACGUCUCCGUUGAUCAAGAACGAAAGUUGGGGGAUCGAAGAUGAUUAGAUACCGUCGUAGUCCCAACCGUAAACGAUGCCGACUAGGGAUCGGCGGGCGUUCCGUUUUGAGGCCCCGCCGGCACCUGACGAGAAAUCGAAGUCUUUGGGUUCCGGGGGGAGUACGGUCGCAAGGCUGAAACUUAAAGGAAUUGACGGAAGGGCACCACCAGGCGUGGAGCCUGCGGCUUAAUUUGACUCAACACGGGGAACCUCACCAGGUCCGGACAUGGCGAGGAUGGACAGAUUGAGAGCUCUUUCUUGAUUUCAUGGGUGGUGGUGCAUGGCCGUUCCCAGUUCGUGGGUUGCCUUGUCAGGUUAAUUCCGGUAACGAACGAGACCUCAACCUGCUAAAUAGCCCCGUCCGGCCCGCCGGGCGGCCGGCUUCUUAGAGGGACUGCUGGCACACGCCAGCGGAAGUUUGAGGCGAUAACAGGUCUGUGAUGCCCUUAGAUGUCCUGGGCCGCACGCGCGCUACACUGGCGCGGGAAGAGAGUGCGCCCUGGGCAGAAAUGCCCGGGCAAUCUUGAAAACCGCCCCGUGACGGGGAUAGACUCUUGCAAUUCUUGGUCUUGAACGAGGAAUGCCUCGUAAUCGCGAGUCAUCAGCUCGCGAUGAUUACGUCCCUGCCCUUUGUACACACCGCCCGUCGCUCCGACCGAUUGAACGUCCUGGUGAAACGCGCGGAAGCGCCGCGCUCCGGCGCGGCGCUGAAGCACUUUGAACCCUGGCGUUUAGAGGAUGGAGAAGUCGUAAC
This 1184-nucleotide ribosomal RNA is filed under the name Ostreobium sp. SAG 6.99. RNAcentral describes it as "SSU rRNA". It matches the Rfam family "Eukaryotic small subunit ribosomal RNA", at positions 576 to 1795 of the family's 1831-position model. Lineage: Eukaryota; Viridiplantae; Chlorophyta; Ulvophyceae; Bryopsidales; Ostreobiaceae. The record is from RNAcentral.